RNAcentral lists this ribosomal RNA (452 nucleotides) under uncultured organism. RNAcentral's name for it is "partial 16S ribosomal RNA". It matches the Rfam family "Bacterial small subunit ribosomal RNA", at positions 332 to 800 of the family's 1533-position model. The record is from RNAcentral.
UACACUCCUACGGGAGGCAGCAGUGGGGAAUAUUGGACAAUGGGCGCAAGCCUGAUCCAGCCAUGCCGCGUGAGUGAUGAAGGCCCUAGGGUUGUAAAGCUCUUUCACCGGUGAAGAUAAUGACGGUAACCGGAGAAGAAGCCCCGGCUAACUUCGUGCCAGCAGCCGCGGUAAUACGAAGAGGGCUAGCGUUGUUCGGAUUUACUGGGCGUAAAGCGCACGUAGGCGGACUAUUAAGUCAGGGGUGAAAUCCCGGGGCUCAACCCCGGAACUGCCUUUGAUACUGGUAGUCUUGAGUUCGAGAGAGGUGAGUGGAAUUCCGAGUGUAGAGGUGAAAUUCGUAGAUAUUCGGAGGAACACCAGUGGCGAAGGCGGCUCACUGGCUCGAUACUGACGCUGAGGUGCGAAAGCGUGGGGAGCAAACAGGAUUAGAAACCCCAGUAGUCCCAUGA